GGCCUGUGAAUUAGUAUUUUUCUAUUGGUUUAGAUCCUUCAUAUUUGUUUUUAGUAAAUUAACACGUAAGUUUUUUUGUUUGAAUUGCUCCACAUGUUUCCUAUCGGGGCCUUUUAUAGCUUUCUGCAUGUAUAUGGUACAGAUAUUUCUCAUUAUUGACGACCAUAUGGUGGCCUAUAGUUAUUAAUACAUUUUCCUCCUUUGAACUCUUUUGGAUAGCAUUGGUUCUUUGCAAAAAAUACCACAUCCCUUUUUAUAAAUAAGACAGUUACAGUAACUUAAAUCAAUUACAAAUGUAAUGAAAGUGAAUUUAUA
Molecule: long non-coding RNA, 315 nt
Filed under: Mytilus galloprovincialis (Mediterranean mussel)
Lineage: Eukaryota; Metazoa; Mollusca; Bivalvia; Mytilida; Mytilidae
Source: RNAcentral